AUUGAACGCUGGCGGCAGGCCUAACACAUGCAAGUCGAACGGUAACAGGAAGAAGCUUGCUUCUUUGCUGACGAGUGGCGGACGGGUGAGUAAUGUCUGGGAAACUGCCUGAUGGAGGGGGAUAACUACUGGAAACGGUAGCUAAUACCGCAUAACGUCGCAAGACCAAAGAGGGGGACCUUCGGGCCUCUUGCCAUCGGAUGUGCCCAGAUGGGAUUAGCUAGUAGGUGGGGUAACGGCUCACCUAGGCGACGAUCCCUAGCUGGUCCGAGAGGAUGACCAGCCACACUGGAACUGAGACACGGUCCGGACUCCUACGGGAGGCAGCAGUGGGGAAUAUUGCACAAUGGGCGCAAGCCUGAUGCAGCCAUGCCGCGUGUAUGAAGAAGGCCUUCGGGUUGUAAAGUACUUUCAGCGGGGAGGAAGGGAGUAAAGUUAAUACCUUUGCUCAUUGACGUUACCCGCAGAAGAAGCACCGGCUAACUCCGUG
This 490-nucleotide ribosomal RNA is filed under the name uncultured bacterium. Its description in RNAcentral is "partial 16S ribosomal RNA". It matches the Rfam family "Bacterial small subunit ribosomal RNA", at positions 30 to 507 of the family's 1533-position model. The record is from RNAcentral.